Molecule: ribosomal RNA, 668 nt
Filed under: uncultured bacterium
Lineage: Bacteria
Description: bacterial SSU rRNA
Rfam family: Bacterial small subunit ribosomal RNA
Source: RNAcentral
ACUCUGAUGCAUCGAUGCCGCGUGAGUGAAGAAGGCCUUUGGGUUGUAAAGCUCUUUUGUAGGGGAAGAUAAUGACUGUACCCUAAGAAUAAGGUCCGGCUAACUUCGUGCCAGCAGCCGCGGUAAUACGAAGGGACCUAGCGUAGUUCGGAAUUACUGGGCGUAAAGCGCGCGUAGGCCGUUGAGUUAGUUAAUUGUGAAAUCCCAAAGCUUAACUUUGGAACUGCAAUUAAAACUGCUCGACUAGAGUUUGAUAGAGGAAAGCGGAAUACAUAGUGUAGAGGUGAAAUUCGUAGAUAUUAUGUAGAACACCAGUUGCGAAGGCGGCUUUCUAGGUCAACACUGACGCUGAGGCGCGAAAGUAUGGGUAGCAAAGAGGAUUAGAUACCCUCGUAGUCCAUACCAUAAACGAUGAUUGCUAGAUGUUGGAAAUUUAUUUUCAGUAUCGCAGCUAACGCAUUAAGCAAUCCGCCUGGGGAGUACGACCGCAAGGUUAAAACUCAAAUGAAUUGACGGGGACCCGCACAAGCGGUGGAGCAUGUGGUUUAAUUCGAAGAUACGCGCAGAACCUUACCAACCCUUGACAUGUCUGUCGCGAGUUUAGGAAACUAGACUUUUCGGUUCUGGCGGACAGACACAGGUGCUGCAUGGCUGUCGUCAGCUCGUGG